Molecule: long non-coding RNA, 6992 nt
Organism: Equus quagga
Lineage: Eukaryota; Metazoa; Chordata; Mammalia; Perissodactyla; Equidae
Exons: 3
Source: RefSeq, a predicted model, not a curated record
GCAAAAUGGUACAGACACUUUGGAAGACAGUUUGGCAGUUUCUUACAAAACUAAAUAUACUCUUACCAUUAAGUCCAGCAAUCACGCUCCUUGGUGUUUACCCAAAUGAGUUGAAAACUUCUGUCUGCAUGAAAACUCACACACAGGUGUUUAUAGCAGCUUUACUCAUAAUUGCCAAAACUAGAAGCAACCAAAAUGUUCUUCAGUAGGUAAAGGGACAGAUAAACUGUGGUCCAUCCAGACUGUGGAAUAUUAUUCAGUGCUAAAAAGAAGUGAGCUACCAAGCCAUGAAAAGACAUGGAGGAAACUUAAAUGCAUAUUACUAAAUGAAAGAAGCCAAUCUGAAAAGGCUACUUACUGUAUGAUUCCAACUAUAUGACACUCUGGAAAGGCAAAACUAUGGAGAACAGCAAAAAGUUCAGGGGUUCGGGGACAGAGGGAUGACUAGGUGGAGCACAGAGGAUUUUUAGGGCAGUGAAACUAUUCUUUAUGAUACUAUCAUAGUGGAUACAUGUCAUUAUACAUUUGUCAAAACCCAUGGAAUCUACAAUAUCAAGAGUGAACCCUAAUGUAAACUGUGGACUUCAGGUGAUAAUGAUGUGUCAGUGUAGGUUCAUCAAUUGUAUCAAAUAUACCACUGUGGUAUGGGGUGUGAGUAGCAGGGAGGCUGUGCCUAUACGGGGGUGGGGGAAAUAUGGGAACACUUUGUACUCUCCUCUCAAUUUUGCUGUGAGCCUAAAACUGCUCUUAAAAAAUAGUCUAUUUGGCAACAAACGAGAAACCAAAACAUCAGACGAAGCAGGACAUAAAAUAGUAUAGCAUAACAUGAACUUAGACCAGAGAAAAGGACACUACAAUGUUAAUAGUCACUAUCUCUGGAUGGUGAAAUUAUUGACUAAUUUUAUGUUUUAUUUUGUCUUUCCAAAUCUUCUAUAAAGAAUAUGUAUUACUUAGAUAAUCAACAGCAACAAUAUUUAUUUUUCAGCAAGAGGAAAUGAAAGAGCACAGAAUUGAACUCAGGACUGAAUUCAGUCAAGGCUCUACCCCUUACCAGCUUUGUGGCCUGGCAAGGCAUUUAGCAUUGCAAACUAUUUCUGCACCUGUAAAAUGAGGACCAUAAAACCCGCCCCACAAUGGUUUGUGUGUGUGUGUUUAUGUGCACGGAUAAAACUAUAUACGGCAUUUGAAUGUGCAAGGCACCUAGAGGAUGCUCAAUAUGGAUUAAUUUCUGAGCCCUUUAAAGAUACCUGGAUGUCUAUGGGUUUCAAGAACACUUUGCUGAGCAUACACAAAGCCUUUUGUUUAUCUGUCUCCCUUUCCCAUCCUGAGAUUCCUGCUGAAACAAACGACCAGGCCCAGGGCAGCCCACGCCCACAUCUGCCAAGCUCCUCCAUCUUGGAGGAGAGAAGGGAGCCGGAGCAAGGAAGCUGUAGUACUUUUCUACUUUGAAAACCCCAGAAAGUCCAAGGCUCUGGAACCAGCUGAUUUUUGUCCUUUACUCCCUCUGCCAUCCUUUAAACAUGUUUCUGUGCUUCCUGUCCCAGCCUGAGGGAGAGGCCAAGGGUACACGUCGCCAGAAAAUAGCUGCAGGGCCAGUCUUGCAGGAGGAUUUGGAUACAGAACGGAACGGGCUUUUGACAGACAAGGAGGAGACUGUUGCCGGCAUGGGGCAGCCAGGAAGGGUGCCCAGAGCCACAAGGAGGACAGGAACAAAGGACUUAGUCUCCCAACAAGCCUGGGCCAAAGCAGGCAGAAUUGGGGUGUCAUGAGCGGAAGGCAAGCUGGCCCCCUCCAGCCAAGAGUGGGGUGUGGAAUGUGAAAGGAAGGUGAACAGAAUGUAACGAAGGGACUUCGGUUCUUUUUCACAUUCAGUGUUACUCUGAAGCAUUCCAAACAUGGCGGGAACAGAGCUUGCUCGGAAAGGAUUGUUAUCUGAGACCAGGGCAGGAUGGAAGGAGGGGAGGCGCUCACGGUGGGGGUGAUGGCUGACGGCUCAAGAGAGCAUUCCAGCUUGGAGAUAAGUGGAGGCAGAAGGUCAGGGAUGAGUCAAGGGAAGGCUGCAGAACUGCUGGUUUCACUCCUGAUGUGAGUGGAAAUGAGGUAAAUCAGAGAGAACUUUUGAUGGCACAGUGGCCCUUUCCUAAUGCUGGAAUCGAGCAAUUGUGCCAGAUUUCCAUUAAAGGCAGGUCCUCUUAACUCUAAAUUUUAAUUUCAGAAAAUUUCCCUAUUCUUUUUUUCUCUAAUUUUCAUUUUCAAAAUGGGAUUUUAAAAGCUAAAACAAUUUGCAUGAAAACUACCAAUAACCCUCUCUGAUUAGCUGAUGGUCAUAUUCCUGGGGCUGAUCAUGACAGGAAUGUAGAAAGAGAUGACAACAAAAUUCCAUAGGUACCUUUUAGUGAUAAACUUGGCUCCUUUGUCUUUGUCACCUUACCUGCCUCCAGCCAAAUUCCCUUUUGUCCCAUGGGCUCUUCCUGUGUUCUUCGGGUACAAGCCAUUUUGGAGUGGAGAUGAAGGAGCUUGGUGGCAAAUGCCACCAUCAGCAUCACCCACAAACAUUCACUGACCAUCAUGAAGGCAUAAAGAGAUAGAGAACUCAUUCCUUGCUUUCAAUGACCUUAUAUUGUGCUCUUUAGAAAUGUAGAAUCUUUGACAUUUUAAAUGGAUGGACCAUGGAUGUUAUGGAGGACGCCAAGAGUAAACUCACUUUGAAAUGCCUGAGAGGUGGGUGAGUCAUUUCUGAGCCUAUUGGAUCAUUCUGUUGCAGACUCUCCUUGACCUUCCAGGCUUGCUAUCUUAACUCACCAAAAUGUUGUUUUGAAGGCGCAAGCAGGGCCUUUGUACUUGCUGUUCCCUCUGACGGAAUGCUCUUCCCCAGAUCUCAGCAUGGCCCGCCCCAUUACCUCUCACCAUCAGCCUUUUGUUCAAAUGCCACCUUCACAGUAAAACCUUCUGUUAUAGGCUGAAUUGUGUCCCCACAAAAGAUGCUGAAGUCCUAACCUCCAGUGCCUGUGAAUAUGACCUUAUUUGAAUAAGGUGUUUGCAGAUGAUCAAGGUAAGAUGAAGUCAUUCAUUAGGAUGGGCCCCUAAUCCACUAUGCCUGAUGUUCUUAUAGAGAGGGGAAAUUUGAAAAUAAAAAAGUAUAUAAAUUAGGAAAAGAGAAAGGGAAAAUUUAAGCACAGAGACAGACACACACAAAGGAAGAUAAUGUGAAGACACAGAAAGGAGACAGCCAUCUACCAGCCAGGGGACACCUGAGGUUACCAGAAGCUGGGAGACAGACAUGGACCCAAUUCUCCCUUACUGCCCUCAGAGGGAACAAACCCUGCUGGCACCUUGACUUCAGGCUUCUGUGAGACAGCACACUUCCUUUGUGUAAGCCACCGAGUUUGUCGUACUUUAUUAUAGCAGCCCCAGCGAGCUAAGACGCCUUCCUAGACCCAUACUAUUUAAAAGUGCACUCUCUGUACCCCUUCUUUUCUCGAGUACUGUCAAACAGCAUAGAUGUGGCUAUUUGGAUACUUGCUCAAGUAUUUCUUUAUAGUUGGUCUCCCUCCGCUGGAAUGUAAGCAUCACGGAAGAGAAGACUUUUGUAGAUUUUCUUCAUGGAUUCCUAGCACCCAGAAUCAGUCCUGUCUUUACGCCCGUCAUGCUGUGGGAGGCCCUCUCUGGCCCUCCUCCAGCCCUGCCCCGCCCCACCCGGUGAGGAGUCUGUGCAGUCAAGCGGAUGUGCUUUCUUGAUGUACGUAGUCCAAUUUGGUCAACACUUACUGACUGCUCACAUUUCAUAAUAGAAAUAGUUUACUUUUCUGGUAGAGUUCUUAAUAGAAUCCUUGAUGUGAAAAGUUGAAAGAGGUCCUCAUUGAUUAUCAUGUCUAAACCCCAAUUAUAUUAGUCAGGACUCUUUGUUGCAAGUAACAGAAAAUCUAACCCCAACUGGUUUACAGAAUAAAGGGAAUUUACUGGCUCAUGUAACUUAAAAGUCCAGAUAUAUGGUGGUUUCCAGGCAAACCUUGAUCCCAGGCUCAGUCAUCUCAACAAUGGUUUGGUUUAUUAUCAUGUCUUUCUCUGCCUUCCACACUGCCUGUUGUAUCUGAAGGCCAGCUUCUCUGUUGUCACAAGGUGAUUACCAGCAACUUUCGUGGACUUAAUGCUUUUUCAUUCCCAUCCGGGUGGAAAAGAGCAUCUCUGUAGGUCGCUUCCAUAGCAGAGUGAGAAAGUUUCUUUCCCCGAAAUCUCCAGCAAAUGCCUUCUUGUCUUGCAUUCCAUUUGCCUGGAGGGGGAACUUGCUCACCUUUGACCAGUGACUGUGGCCAACAGGGUGACAGGGUGUGAUGAUUAGUUUGUGCCAAACAGGGUUUGUCCCUUGUGAUGGUUAAUUUGAUAUGUCACUUAGGCUGGGACAGGGGGAUCCCAGGCAUUUGGUUAAACAUGAUUUGGGGUGUGCCUGUGAGGAUGUUUCUGGACGAGAUAAACAUUUGAAAUAGUAGACUGAGUAAUGCAGAUUGCCCUCCCCAAGGUGGGUGGGCCUCAUCCAAUCUUUUGCAGGCCUGGCUAGAACAAAAGUUGGGGUAAGGAAGAAUUCACUCUCUCUGCCUGUUUUUGAGCUGGGACGUUGGUUUCGUCCUGUACUCAGAUUGGAACUUAAACCAUCAGCUCUGCUGGUUCUCCAGUUUGCAGACAGCAGACUGUGGGACUUCUCGGCCUCCAUAAUCACAUGAGCUAGUUCUUUAUAAUAAAUCUCUUUAAAUAUGUAUUUGUCCUGUUCCUCUGAGAACCGUGACUAAUACACCCCCAGAGCCAGGAGUAGGGUCAGAUUUUUCCCGAAGUGCAGAGAACGCAUAAGCAAGGAAUGCAUAACUGAUGAAAACUGGGACUCUUUCAUUAAGAGAAAGGAAUAAUGGGGGGCCAUGGCUGAGUGGUUAAAGUUCUGCGUGCUCCGCUUUGGUGGCCCGGGUUUGCAGGAUUGGAUCCCAGGUGCAGACCUAAAAAAAAAAAAAAGAAAGAAAGAAGGAAGAACAAAAACUGGCAAGAGAAAAAGAACAACUGUCUGCUAUACUUGAAUUUAUCUCAUCUUUAGUGGCAAAGCCAGGUCUAGCACUUAUAUGUCUACACUCCUUACUCCCUGUUAUUAUUUAUUGUUUAUAAUGGGCAACUCACUGUGCUAAAUGCUAUGGUAAAAUAAUGCCCCAGAAUGUCCAAGAAACCAGAGGUUUAGUAUGAGAUAGAAGGCAUUCACAAAUAGCUGGAGUGGAGGGUAGUGUAUGAUAGAUGCCAUCAAAGAGAAGUCAGUCAGGUGCUUUCCCUGUAGAAAACCCUCCCCAUAUAGAUGCAUGGUGCUUUCUUCCUGAGCAGAGUUGCAUGCCACUUUGCGCUGUCUGCUGAGAAUCCUUCCUCCACGGACAGCGGAUUUCAUAGAAACAGCACAUUACAUACUAUUUCCUUAAAUUUAACACGUAAGAUGAACUAAUACGGAAAAAAUGCAAAUCUCUUAUAUCCAGGACUCUUCCCACCUUCUUUAGAGGAACUAAAGUCUUAACCAAGUGGUGUAUUAUUCAGAUUUAAGCACUAAAAUGUGCCCUUGAGCCUCCAGGAAAUAUUCCUGAAAUAUUUUUCCCUACAUGGGAUAAUGUCUAGUGAGAACCUUUCUUCCUUCCUUAGUUCUAAAAUAGUUUUCUUUUUUCGCAUUUCUCUGCUCAACACCAAAGAAGGGGCAUAAUUCUUUUGUUCUGAAUUUAAUGGAUUAUGUUUUAAAACAUGCCUAGCCUAGUGCCCUGUGCAUAAUAGGUCCUCAGUAAAGGCUGGUUGAACCUGAGUCUAUAGCUACAAAUGAUUAACAUGUCUGUAUUCUCUUUAAGAUAUUCUGCUUAAGCAACGUGUGAUUUCGAAGACUUCCUGGCUAAAGGUUUCAUCCCUUUAUGCUUUUUAAAUGAAAGUCAUCAUCUCAUCAUUGGGCUCAUUCUCUUGGGUACCUAAUAUUAUCAUCCUCCUCAAGGGUUGCAAGCUCAAAUAGUGACAGGGGCCAAGCAGGUAAACAAAAUAGUAAAGCAUGGUCGGCUUUCCAUGGGUAGUCUAAUACCAAUCUUGAUAUCACAUUCACUAAUUAUUUCUUAUCCCCUCAAAAAAGACAAUUCAACACUACAAUGAGAAAUCAUUAAUUUAUAGAAAAUUUUAUGGAGAGACAGGGCAGAGCAUUUGAAUACCAAAAGCAAAAAUGAUCAAGCUCUCCAUCUUCCCCCAGAAGAUCUUCUUCCCUGCUAGUUACCUUAACUCUCUCCCUUCUCUUUCCCACAUAGCCUUUAUGUAGAUGUAGAAGAUUCUGAAAUAAAACAAGGACGGAACUUGACUUUGUGAGGUGCAAGUGUCCAUCUCUCUUCAGGCAGAUUCCACUCCAUAUCUACUAUUAUGGAAGUGGAGACCAGGAGGUGACUGGUUUCCCCGGGUGCCCUGAGGAGCACCCAGACUGAGCUCUACAGAAACAAGAAUGCAGAAAAAAGAUGAGCACACUUGAUAAUUUUCCAUGCUCGCAAACUCUGAAGAAUGGGCACAAGUCCUGGCUCUGGAGGAGAGAGGGCCGACUGGAGACUGAAGAGGCGACUUCUGGGGAACCCCAGAAGAUCGGCUACUCCCCCCAAUCUGCUAAAAUGGAGCCAACAAGUGAAAAAGGGCAGAAACCCACAAGAACAAAGUGAACAAAGAGAGCACGGCUUUGCCUCAGCUGUGAAUAAAUUGAAGGUCCUAAUAAUGAAACCCUAAACGUUGAUUUAAUAAAUUUGUGAGCGGGAGGGGGGGAAGUGUGUGGAAGGGAGAGCAGAGUAAGACCUGGAGACCUUCAUCCUCCGUACUAGGGAGGGGAAAGUCAAUGUCUAAAACGGAAAAAUCAAGAAACAGCCAGGUAGGCUUGUAUUUUAGAAAUACAGAGUAAACAGCAGAAAAAACGACUUCAAAGAAGGGGAAUUAGCAGUGCAGAGGAACGCAGCCCGACUCUGGCUUUU